CCCGUCUUAGUUCCACCUCCUCAUGAGUAAAUGCGUGGUGGCGGGAAUGAGGCCCAGAGCUCUUCAGGCACCCUGGGCCCAGAGAAGGGGGGCGGAUUGGGUGUUGUUGUUUUAACUCUUUCAUUGGAGCACACGUCCGCUCAUCUUCUGUAAAAAAAAUAAAUAAAUGGCAGGCGCGACAUCUCUCCUUCCUCCUGGGAUGUCGUGCUCACAUAUGGACAAAGGGAAGGAUCUCACGAGCAGAAUAUCACAAGAUCCUCCCUCCUCUCUCCCCUGGUCUAGACAUGCCCUAAGCUUCCAUAUAAUUAUUUCCUAUUGAAAUCAAAAAGACCUUAAAAAUACUUAACUUUGGCUGUACCAUACCCCGUGGCUUUUUUUUAAAAAGCAUGAGAUCAUUUUUCCCCACCUAUUGUCAUUUAUUGUGUAGUCGUGUUCCAUGAGUGUGUAAAACCAGUUUUUCUGUUUGCUUUUUUUCUUAAGAAGAGAGGGGGGAAAGAUUUAAAAGCUCUGCUUUGGGAUCAUAAUUGUUUAUUGGCUUACAGCCAUCAGCAGUAGUACUUUCGGAAUGUACUCAGAUGUACAUCUUAUCAGGCCUUGCUUUAUUGUUUGCCUUGCAGCAAAACAGGCUGUUCUGGUGGCCAUGCAAGACACAUAAUAAUGAUAGGAGGUAAUUUCUUGUAAGGCAUGCCAGUUAUACAGCCUCUCCUUGAAAAGUCUGUGUUAAACAAAAGCCAAACAAAAUACAAAAGAAACCCAAGUCUCUCAAAAACAAUUAUUUUAGUUGCAUUUUUUUUAAAAAAAAAACCCAACAAGAAUGGAGCUUUCACCAUUGUAUUUUUGGACAGAUAUUAUCUGCAUAUUGUUUGAGUUGCAUAGUCUUGCUUUUGGCUUUAUCCAUUGUAUUUCCAGAGGACUCAUACCUAUCUAUAGUUACUUAAGUGCCUGUAGAUAGGAAAAUAGAAGCUAAAGGAACUGUGUAUGUGUUAAGCCUAGAGAAAAGCAGAUCCUAGACAUGCUUUUCUGAGAGUAAGCCCCAUUAAACUCAGUGGAGUUUACUUCUGAGUAGAUAUGCAUCAGAUGGGAACAACCCACCCCUAUGCAGGGCACAGCCGCCCAUAUUCAAAGGAAAAGGAAAUAGUAGACCCCUUGUUUCUCUUACGUGUGCACAAAGCCCAUUAAAAGGAAAGGAAGGUCCCAUCUUCAUCCAGCCCUCCUUGCUACCCAUCCAAGUUGAAGGAGGAUCUGUAGCUCAGUGGUAGGUCACAUCUUUGCAUGCAGAAGAUUUCCGGUUCAAUCCCUACCCUCUAGUUGAAAAAGUAUGGAUAUAUUACAAGUUGGAUUCCUCCUUUUUUUUCUUUGCUUUUUGCUGGCCCUGAUUCGGUUUAACACUAGGCAUACUCAUAAAUUCAGCACAUGAAGUUAACAUGCCCUAACUUAGCUCCCAUUCAUUUCAAUGGCUUUACUCUAAGUAGGACUAAGAUUGAAUACUACACCAUGAUUAGAAGGGAGUUGGGUGGACCCAGUGGUUUUAAACUUUAGGGACAGGUGCCUGCCCUUAAUCCAGAGAAACCAAUGCCUAAGGCUGGAAUUCUAUACACACUUGCCUGAGAGUAAAUUCCAUUGAACUCAAUUGGGCUUGCUUCUGAGUAGAUAUGCAGAGGGCAGCACACUAAACUCCAUUAAAAUCAAUAGGGCAAGCUAGCUGCAAUGAACAAGACCCAUACAGUUCAAUGGGAUUUAAGCACAACCAGCAACAGGUUCAGCUAGAAGCAAAAUAUAGGGUCAAAAUGACUCCCUCUCAAAAUCACUGUUUUAUUCAGUAGUUGAUCUGGCACCCUAAUCUUAAAAAUAGCUGCAUACCUGGCCAAGAAUACCAGCUCAUUGCUCCAGCCUUCCAGUUUAAAGAAAAAAGAUUUUAAAAAUCUUAAGAAAUACUAAUAAUUAAAAAUAAAUCAGGAGGUGCAGGGAGCCUGAUGGGCACCAAGAGAGAUGUAUAUGGGCACCACAUUGGAGACCCCCGUCCUAUAGCAUCAGUGUAAAUCUUAGUUUGGUUUGCGUGUGUUUUGAAAUUGUAUUGGUGUUGGUCAAAAUGGUCUGGGGAGAAAGAAAUGUAAGCAAGCUUUAACAUAACCAAACAAACCAAGUGAAUCCCAUCAGUUCCCUUUCCCCUGUGUUUGCUGUGCACAGUAUCAAACAAAAAGUAGUUGAUAUAACCUGCACUAUCCUAAAUAUUUAUUUGCUGAAGGAACAUGGCUUAGGAAUAGACCAGAGGGACAUUGCAGCAUACAGUAGAAGACACUGUUAGGUAACAGGCUCUCAGGUGUCCAAAUCAGAUGCUUGGAUUAUGACCAGUGAAUUCACCUUUUAUCUGCCAGACGGGCGUGUGAAUUAGCUCCAAGAAAUCUCUUUACAACCCUCCUCAGAAAGGUGAAGAGUCUGGCAGAAAAUACACUGUUCGCACCAAUCUUGUGUUUCCUGUAGCCACCUUGUUUAUUUUUCCCAGGGUAGAGUAGGAUGUCAGUAUUGGGUUUCCAUGUCGGUAUUGGGUUUCCACCUCUAAAAGUACAGAAGAGGCUUGGAUUGGCCAAUCUAGUUGUCAACCAUUGGAACAAAGUCUUAAUUUGUCUUCUUUUUUGGUUUAGAUUCUCCUCUCAUAUUUCACCUUGCUUCUAAUUCACUUCCACCCUUCCAGUUGAUAUUUGAACUGCCAUGUUAGGGCACUUGUCCUGUAGCUGUCUGGUAGCGAAAGAAGGCUCUAAUGUUUACUUCCUUCCCAUUAUUGUCCAAAAUGUGAACUUUAUGUAGAUUGUUUGAAUGGUAGUAGACGUUGAUGGUAUUGUUAGGUAAGAGUUGCUGCCAUUUGGCUUCUCCUUACUGACUUUUGUGUCUCUGUUGGCACCAAAGUGUGUUCCCUUCUCGUCUUGUGCUGCUGGGUUUGCAGCUAUCUCCAUGUUCAGAUGACCUACAGUUCUUUGAUGUUUAUUCUUGUGCCUUCAGAUCCUUUGUUUCCAUCCAAAUUGUCCUCACGGAUUGUGAAGUGAUGUCCAUUAAGGAAUCUUCUCUCAUUUUGUGGGUUGUUCAUUAUGUGUCAGAAGAAAAUAGGGAAUAAACAAACGAGGGAAAACCUUCAUAUUUAGAUGGACUUGAAGCUCAUGAGAAAAGAUCUGGAUACAUCUUUUCCCCACACUACACACACACACGCUUUUCAUUUACAACAAAUAGUGGAUGAAGCCACACAUGGGAAAAAGACAUAGACAAAAGCAAUGGAAGCUUUCUACUCCGUGAAGAAACUGUGAGAUCCGUCUUAACGUUCUGCAACUGCUUUCAGCUGAGGAAUUCAACUCACCUCGCCUCCCAGCUGACUUAACGCCUCUAAUUAUAGUGUUUCCAAUACAUAUAGAUAGAUAUUUUUUAAAAAACUGAAUAUUUGAAAAAAGGUAAGGCUUCCAGCAGAGCACGUAAGUGGACAGAGCUGUUAUUAGACUGCAGCUACGGUACAGUUCUUUUAAAAGAUAUAUAGAUAAUAUAUCAUUGAAAGUUUGUUUUUAAUGGGACUAAUAGUGAAUACAAUACAAUGGGCACAUGAACCUGCUGAAAUGUAUUUGCAGUCAAGCAAUGUGCCCUCUGUCGUCCCCGUCCCCCCAAAGGUCCAUAACACCAGCACAUGUCAUAUUAGGAAGUAUUGUUUAUUUUUAAAGAUUUGAUUAGGGCAGAAUCUAAGCAGCUUUAACUGGCUAGUUUUAUUUUAUUGGUGUCCUUGACAAAGGCCUUUUCAGGGUGAUCUCAAACAAGCUCUAAAAUAGGUGGGCAGCUUGUGGCCUUCCAGAUGUUUAGGCCAACAACUCCCAAGCAUCCCUCACCAUUGUUUAUGCUGUCUAGGACUGAUGGGGAGUUGUAGAUCUCAAUAUAUGGAGGGUCACAAGUUGCCCACCCCUGCUCUCAAAACAACCUGUCUGCUCUAUCAGCCGGCUGUUUCUGCCCAAAAAACAAUAGCAUCCCAGGACCUGGAAGACGUUUUUGAUGAUUAUCCAAAUAGGAUGAAGUUUUCACCCUAUAAAAUACAACCCAUUAAAUAUUAUAUUGAAAUGGUAUAAAUUGAUUGUCGAGUAAUGAAAAAUCCCUGCCAAAUGAACAAAAGAAUUUAAAUUUGAAGUGAGAUGGAGUGAAACUAUUUCUAAAUACUACGGUUUCGAUCUGUAUACUGUACUACCCCCAGGGAAUUGAAUAUCUGGAGAUUAUUUUAUCCUCUUCUCUAUGUAGUAGAUUGGGCUGAGCUCCAACUCAUCUAGUGAGUUCCAUGACCAAAAGAGGGACAUUAAGUCAGGUCUGUCCAGGCCAACCUCCUCCUCAUCUUUCUACCCGUAAUACUUUUCAUCAUGUUUUUCUGUUUUUGCUGGAGGUUUGGUGACUGGUUUUUGAUGCUCAUUGACUUCACAUGGUAGGAUGGCAAUAGUAUUUAUUAUUUAU
Molecule: long non-coding RNA, 4467 nt
Organism: Elgaria multicarinata webbii
Lineage: Eukaryota; Metazoa; Chordata; Lepidosauria; Squamata; Anguidae
Exons: 2
Source: RefSeq, a predicted model, not a curated record